AAGCUCACAGUCUGUAGUAUAAGGUACUGACAGAGGCUCACAGUCCGCAGUAUAAAGUACUAACAGAGGCUCACAGUCCGCAGUAUAAAGUACUAACAGAGGCUCACAGUCCGCAGUAUAAAGUACUAGGCUAUUACAGAGGCACUAUCAGAAUCCCUCCAAUCAGAUAGACACACAUGCACACACACACACACACACACACACACACACACACACACACACACACAUUCUUCUUCUAUUAAAGUCCAGCAGGGGACGAGCUCGAUAAUGAAAUCUGUUCUGUUCUCUUCUGAACCUCAGAUCCACUUCCUCUCCUCCUCUCCAGCUGUCUUCUUGUCUCCUUCCUCAAUUUCAUCCUCUCCUCCUCUCCUCUCCUCUCCUCCCCUUCUCCUGUUCUCAUCUCCAGCUGUCCUUCCUUUCCUAUAGUCCCGAUUCUCCUCCCCAUCCUCAAUCUCAUUCUCUCCUCUCCUUCCUAAAUUGAAUUCUCAUUCUCAUUCUCUCCUCCUCCUGUAUCCUCUCCCCUACUCCUCUCCUUUUCAUCCCCCUCCUCCUCUCCUCUCCUUCCUAAAUGUCAUUGUCUCCUUCUCUCCUUCCUAUAUCUCAUCCUCUCCUAGUCCUCUUCCCCUCCUAAUCCUCUCCUUCUCCUAAUUCUCCCCUCCCCCUCCUCCUCCCCUCCUUCUCCUCUCCUCAUCCUCCCCUCCUUCCUAAAUCUCCUCCUCCCCUCCUCCUCUUCCUCUCCUUCCUGAAUCACGUCCUCUCCUUCUCCUCCUCUCCCCUAAUCCUUUCCUCCUCUCCUUCUCCUUAUCAACCUCAUUAUGUGAACUUUCCUCCCCUCUGUGUCGAAAUAUUAAUCUUAUUAACACAAUUGAAUUGCAGCUGAAAAUUGAGCAACACGAGAACCUUUAGAGCUUUAACUAGGAUGAUCGGGUCGUUUUAGUUAAACUGAUGACAUGAGUUCAUAUCUUUUAUAUUUUGAAGGCAUUCCACAGAUUUCAUUUACGUCAUAAUUUAUUCAUUAAUUAAUUGUCAAUUUAAGUCACAACUCAAACUUCAGUCUGGAUGCUUCCGUUUGACGUGAAGCCUGAAUCCUCCAUCUCCUUCUUUACGUCCCUGCCCAAAGGUCGUGACCCCGGCCCGAGGGUCCGCCUCUAAGUGGUUUCACUGCUUUUAUCGCCCUCGCUGUCAGCUCCUCGCCAGCAGCCACGACCUCUUCUGGCGAGUAAACAGCUGCGGUCAGCAGGGGACGGCUGGUAGCUUGAAGAUAGCCGCGUCCAGACGAGGAGUCCUCAUUCCGCGGCGCAUUGAUGAGCUGCGGUGCCGACGCAGAGGAGCAUCGUGCUGCUCUGAGAGGAAAAAAACGAUUCCCUGAUUCUCUGGUUCAUACAGAGAGUGUAAGAAGAGAGCGAGGUGGAGGAAUUUAAUCAGCUGAAAGCGGUUCGGAGCAGCUGCUGUGUGGAAGAGGUUUUAAAAUUCCAGCCUCACCGCAGGUUCACCGCAGAUGUUUCUACAGUUUCAUCUUCAGCAGAAACACCUACGGAUGAAGCACCACCCUCCUCCGCCAGCAGAACUACGAGUCCACAAAGCCUCCACCCUGGUGGCCGAGGGGUUAAUUGAUCACUCAUUGAUUCUCACGCUGAAAACACAUUUCUCAUUUCACGUUUUGAUGCCAGUGUUUCAUGGGUAUUAAUGAGUGAUCUUCCUCCUCGCGCGUCCACGAGGAGUGUGAGGGACAGGAAGGAGGGAGGCAGCAGCGAGGUGGAGGAUAAUCCUCCCCUGAUCAAAGACUUUCAAAACAGUAAAUAAAUGUUUUUUACGUCAUCAGGCAGAACCCAGCAGCUCAGAGUCACACUGGAUUUAUUUCACACCCAGAACACAACAACCACGCGACGACACAAGCGGCGAGGGGGGAGACAGAAUGUGUCGACACUGCCAGAGGAUCUCACACUGGAGACAAAACAGCAAAACACAGAAGAAGAGACUCCCGAGCUCUCUGGGGAGGAGAUGUGAUGCUAAGUAUCAUCGCUGAUGAAGAGGAGGCCGACUGUUUACCCUUAAACUCAAGAGGGCUUUUGUGGUGAUGGAUAAAAUCUGCUGAACGAUGACAGGAGGCUUCACAAACACUAUUGUUCACGUACACAACGUACAACACGCUCAGGUUCAAGGUCACGAACACAAACACGGCCUAGGAGGUCAUUUUUGAUUCAUAAUUAAAUAAUUUCCCGUCAACGGUUUUUGGGUUAUCUUAUAAAAAGUAAAUAUUAGGGCCGUCAAUAGAUUAAAAAAUAAACUAAUUAGUUUUCAAUUUAGUUUGAAAAAGGAUUAAUCGCGAUUAAUCGCAAUUAAUGAAUGUUGUUACAAUGUUGUUUUGAAUGAAUGUUUGUUUGUCUUCUAAAGACUAAAUCUUAAUAGUAGCGUGUAUUUUACACACUGUUGUUUAAUUGUUAAUGUUAUUUUAAACACAAAGCUACACACAUUUUUUCAUCUUGGAGGCAGAAUUCCACCUGGUGGAUCAUGUUGAACUAGCGACUCUUCCUGUUGUCCUCGUGCACUUUGCUCUCAACUCUCCAUCAUUUAACGGCUGCGUUUGAAGAGCCAACAAUCUCCCACAUUUAGUCAGAACGUUUUCACACCACCGUCUUUUAGGGACACAGUGGUGGUCCUCUGCAGACUGCAGGGUAACGUUAGAUGUUGAGAUGGAAGUAGCCUAGCAGCUAGCUUAGCCUAGCAGCUAGCUUAUAGCAUACAGUUCUCCGCUGUAUGUCGCGCCUCUGUUUGUCUUACUUACAAUCCAAAUAAAAUUCUGACUCCCCAGGAAACUACUCAUUUGUAUUUAGGAAAAGAUAAAAACCUUUUUUCACACAUGGUUUUAUUUUGAAGUCUGAAUUAUAAUUAUUAUUAGAACACAUCACGUUGACAAUAUCAUCAAUACGGACGAUCGGGUGUGAAGAACAAUCGAACCCGACUUCCAUCCUGUGCAAGAAGAUAGUUGGUGGUUUUCUCAGCAGCAGAAGUGACGACCUUGAAAGAGACCCGAGUGUGUUGUUAUUCAGUUUGUGUGCGAUGUUACAGGAAUAAAUACAAGUGGCGUCUGUAACCUACUUAAGUUUUAUACUGAAUAUAAAUAUGUCUUAUUUUGGUUAUCAGUUGGAAAUGUUCCUCACUAAUGUCUGAGAGCCUGAAGGCAGCUCAGGGCUCUGUGUGUGUGUGUGUGUGUGUGUGUGUGUGUGUGUGUGUGUGUGUGUGUCUGUGGUAGCAGGAAAAUCUUUGAAUGAAGCCGAGCUUGUGUUGAUGAACGUGAACUGAAUUCAUGACAAACUGGAAGCUUUUAAUUCUCAUUUGUCCCACAGGACAUGAACAUGGCGUCACACAUGUUGGUCCAGACCUUGCGUAUUCGUGUGUGUGUGUGUGUGUGUGUGUGUGUGUGUGUGUAAUAAGCGAUCUCCAGCUGGUCUGAGAUCAGGCUGAUGUGUUUAUCGGCCUGCAGAGACUAAAUGGUGGGCAGCUAUUAUCAGCUCAUUACGUCUCCUGACGCGGGAGUCCUAACAAGAUUCCGUCUGGCGGUUAAUCUAGAUUAUGACGUCACCACGGCUUUCUGCUUAUUAAAAAAAGGUCAGAGGUCACAGGCCGCUACAACUCCAUCCAACACAGUUCCAAGAGUGCUUUGCUAAAAGACAUGGAGGAUUCCUUUGUGGUUUUCCUGGGUCCAUCUUUCCUCUCACUUCAGGAACCCCUUACAGUUCAAAUAAUUCUUUUUUUUUUCGCAGUUAAAACAAAGUUCUGUCAAGGAAAUGUCAAUGAAAUCAAUAACCUGUCACAGUGGACAGUUUUACUCCAGUGUUUACCUGCAGCUAUAAAGAUCAUUUGAACUACAGAUAUUUGUGUAACCACCACCAACUGAAACAUAGAUUCAAAUAAAACUGUUCAAUGAUUCAACAUGUUUUGCGUAUCUGAACAACCAAAUCUACGUUUUUAACACCAGCUGAAGUUAAUUCAAAGCCGUGAUGAGUUCUUCAGCUGACCAGGAGUCUGUAGUCCGGCCUUUCCGUGAGAAGAGAGCAAAGCGCCGAUAAAAUAUUAAGCAAAAUUUGAUUUGAGGUUUCAGCUUGUUUAUAUCUUUUAUAACUGAAAUGUGCUUCCAGCCACGGCUCACUUAAAUAACUCUGAUGAUAAAGAGAAUAUAUAAGUGCAAAGUAACGCGCGAUGGGAAGUGAAAUGAAAUGCGAGAGGCUUCUUUAUACCUCUCACCUUUUUCAUUUCUACAAUCCAGCUUCAAAUCACCAGGCAACGCAAACUAGCUUUAAACCGGUUUAAACUGGUUUAACCAGCACGUCAGCCAAUGUGAACUAGUUAAAACCGGUUUGACCAGCUCACCAGGUUAUGUAACUACUGUAAACCAGUUAAAGGACUAAAUGUGUGAAUAAAAAGGUUGAAGCUCUUUGCAUCACAUUUUCCAGAUGUUUGAACUCAUUCAUAACCCUGGUUUUGUUUGUCAUUGAUACCUGAAGUGAUCAGAGAUCACGUCACUGCCUGGAAAUGCGUCCGGGAGGGAAAUGUCAUGUUGAUAAAACCAAUAUCAGUUUACCUAUUGAUCAGACAUUGUCUGAUUGGAAUGAGUUAUUGUGUUUUAAAUCCUCUUAAACCAACAGCAGCUUCAGCUUUAAUCAAUGAACCUGAUCAGUAUUAUAACCUCAGUCAUCAGUCAUUAUGUAAUUAAUACAUAUAAUCAGUGUAUUAUCAGGUGCUUAUUAGGACCAUCUAUUACUUCUAAUCCUAGUGUGUAUAAUAGUAUUUUAUUAUUGUAGUAUUUUAUUUUGUAUGUAUAAACGUGUUAAGAGGAUCUAUUCAUGCUUGGAUUCACAUAGAAGAUGAAACAAACUCAUUCAUUCAUAUUUCAGAGGUCUUAAUCAGCAAGACUGUGACCGAGGAGACGAGGACGAAGAGGAGGAACGGGGAUAAAAAUCUGUUGCCGAUCGUCUCCGACCUGACGAGAGGAAUCUGUUGUGUAAACAUCAAACGGCGGCUACCUCCCCCCUCGCCGAGGCCUCCGAGCCCCCGAACCUCCGAGCAGAUGUCGAGCUCCUUCACUGGAUCUCUGAAGUCAACAACAAGCAGCAGCAGGACGAAGGUGUUCCUCCAGAACACGGAAACACCAGCAGCGGGUCAGUUCUACACGUCGCGUUGACACCUAAAUUAUUCAUGAGCGACGUGUCUUCAGCUCAAAAUACAGAUUGUACGAAGAGUCCCGUCUGUGAAUAUCAGCAGGUUAAAUGUGCCGGUGUCCCAUUUCUGAACUGCAGCUUGAUGAACAGGAUUAAGGAGACGGAAACCUGAUACCAGCUUUAACUGGAUUGUUUUCAGCGUGAAAAUGAAAAUCUCUGCAGAGAUAAUCUCAUCAACAAACACUCAAGCUUUUACUUUGAAAGCCUCAGGGAGGAAGUUUGGCACAUUCUGGGGUGUUUAGGGACAAAAAAAUGUGUAAUUCAGACGUGAAAAGAAAGCAGAACUGCUUCAUACUGUAAAUGAAAGAGGUUCUCUGGAGCUCAUUUGACUCCACAGCGUCGUCUCAUCCGUCCUUCCGUCCAGCUGCAAAGGAGACCUCCACCCUCACCCGUCUGCUCUCACUCCACCCGUCACUCAUCUCACUCUUCAAAGGUCUCAGGCCUGAAGCAGCCCAGUGAGCACAGACCACAAUUUCAUCGUCGAUUUCAAUACGGCAGAAAAACGCUUUUCCCCGUUUUUAUUAUGAAACGUCGACAUGUCACAAAACCCAGAUCUGUUUGAAAAUGUUGAUUUGUGGGUCGAUGAUUUGACGAUGACAUUUAAAGAAGGAAAAGCCGGUUUCGUUCGACAAUCCGUAGCCGUAUUUAAAGAACAUCCCGCUGAGCAGCACUCAGGAUUUCAUUGUUGAUUUUUAGUGGAAAACUGGAUGAUUUGUCUCUCUUCUUCAACUACAUUUGAAGCAACUCAAACUGCUUUAUUAUUCCAACGAUGCAAUCCAAAUUUUGCCCCGUUAGCUUCAGUUUGUGCUCAUCGCUAGCUUGUAGCGUAGCCCGACGUUAUACAAGAUAGAGUUUUUAGACCAUUUCCCAUAUAAAAUAAACAUUUGUGGGACUGUGAAUCCCGUGAAAUACGGCAGCGAGUGAAUAUUAAUCUACUAAGUAGUUUAUUUGCACAUAUCCAUUUGAAAUAUGGCGGACCUUCUGAAUUCAGCUCCUGCUUUGACAACAGCAAGAACGCUGUUUGUAUACUUAUAUUACACAUAUUUUUGUUUAUUAAAUACAUGUUAAUUGUUGCAUGUGUCAUCUUCUUUGUAUUGUAGGUGGAGACAGUUGAUGUGUGUCACUGUGACUUAAUUUAAAUUGAUAAAUGUUCGCUGUGAGUGUUUUGAAGUUCAAAAGAAUUUCAAAAUAAGUUGUUGGUUAGUUUGUUUUCGUUGAGAAGAUGCGGAUUAAAGCUCCACACUUAUAGUAUGAAAUGUGAAAUAUUAAUAAAAUCACAAUAUGGAAGAUCAUAUAAAGUCACUCAAACCACAGAUAAAGAAGGUUUUCAAAUCGUGGUGAAAAACGUCUUUUAGACAUCAACCGAAUUUCACAAUGUUCACUGGUAAACAAACAAACAAAUCAACAAACAAACAAACAGCUCUCCGCCGCCGACUGUCUGGUUUUACGCACCACGUCACAGGAACCUCCACAUAUCAAACAGGUCAAGGUCAAACCGGACCACACAGACCCACCGACCCGGGACCAGGACCAGGACCGCGGUGGAACCGGUACCGGAUGCGGGUGGGUUCGUGCGCAGAGAGGCGGGGGGGUCGUACCUGCGUGCGGAGCGGCUCUCCGUGCUCAAUGACGCUGAGGAACGGGAUCUCCAGGAACGAGGCCAUGAAGUCCACCUGUAGCAGCUCCUCGCGGCUCUGCGGGAAGGCCAGCACGGCGGAGACUCCUUGCACCACCACGCCCUGACACACGCACCGGAACAGGGACUCCGGGUCCGCGGCGGCCGGCUGGCGGGAAACAAGCUCCAGGCUCAAGUUGUAGGGAAGAAAGUUGUUCCGCUCCCGGUUCGGGUCCCUGUCCCGGUCCCUGUCCCGGUCCCGGUCCCGGUCCAUCGCGGCCGCCGCGCGGCUCAGCGCCGCCUGGACCUGAACGCGAGCCCCCCGCUGCGCCGGGAGGAGCGCGCCGACGCGCACCGUGUGUCCGAUCUGAGCCAGGAGGUGGCACGGCUGCGGAUGGAGGAGGCACGGCGGCAGGAGGUGCAAAAGGAGCAAGGUGAGGAGAGUCCGGGACCAGGAGGGAGAGGAGGAGGAGGAGGAGGUGAAAGACAUCCUGCUGCGCUCUCAGCAUCGCUCUGCCGCUCCUCCGGUUUCUCCUUCUGCUCCGAGACACCGAGAGGGGAGACUGAGGAGACCGCAAGGGGGGGGGAGGAGGACACGGGAGGGGAGGCGGCUUCCCCAAAACAGGAGGUGCAGAGGAGCCGGUGAUAGGAGAGGAAAGGAGGAGAGGAACCCACUGAGCAACACGUUUCGCACGUGUGGGUUUGCUUUGAAUGAAGGUUAUUCAAGGUUGAAAAGUCAAAGUUCACUUUGUUCUUUUAGUAGAAGGUCAAUAAACUUCAGAUCUUCAAUGCGGCGCCGCUUCGAGACAUCGAACAAAUAGCACAGAAAUGAGGAUAUGUCACAUAACUAAUAAUAGCAAAUAAUAAAUAAAAUGUAGCAAUUGUUUCAGUGAUAUGAAAUAAGUAAAUGGUAAAUAAAUUCAGAACGUAAUAUGCAAAUAUUAGAAAUGGAGAAUGACAAAAGAAAGAAAAAAGAAGGAUAUAAAAAGAUAUUGUCUCUUGUCAUAACUUGUGGAACAUCACAGGAUUUUCCAGGAAUGUUCUUGAACCCUUGCUUGUUGCCAUGAAGACCUCGUCCUGCUAACAAUAAUAAUAAUAAUAAUAACAAUAAAAUGUAAAAAGCGGACGUUGUGCAGCGCGGCAGCGUGACUUUGCGGGUUAAAGCGAUUCUCUCACACACAUCUGGAAACACAUCUGUGGGCAGAAGAGAGCGCGGGAAGAAGACGGCGGCCGACUGACGGUUUGAUAAAGUCACGUGAGCGUUGAGUCAAAUCUUUUGAAGUCGGGAGAAGAUCUUUAUCAGUCCGCCGUCGCUCUGAGCUCAGCUGCCUGAUCCUCCGAAGACAGACGAUCGAUUCUUUCACUGCAUCCAGAGCCCGAACCCAUGAACCCAUGAAGGAAGCUAAAGUGUUUCCAAGUGAAGCUUCUAGUUCAAGUUUGACCGAACCAGAUGUUUCCUCACAAACGACGUGAUUGCGUCUGAAAUGCAUUAUAUAUUGUUCCCUUCAUGGCUUCUUCACUUACACUUC
Gasterosteus aculeatus aculeatus (three-spined stickleback) is the source of this 8363-nucleotide long non-coding RNA. NCBI's taxonomy places the organism in Eukaryota, Metazoa, Chordata, Actinopteri, Perciformes, Gasterosteidae. The record is from Ensembl.